UCGGGAAUUUUGGGCAAUGGGCGCAAGCCUGAUCCAGCCAUACCGCGUGAGUGAAGAAGGCCUUCGGGUUGUAAAGCUCUUUCAGACGGAAAGAAACGGUUACGGCUAAUACCCGUGACUAAUGACGGUACCGUAAGAAGAAGCACCGGCUAACUACGUGCCAGCAGCCGCGGUAAUACGUAGGGUGCGAGCGUUAAUCGGAAUUACUGGGCGUAAAGCGUGCGCAGGCGGUUUGGUAAGACAGAUGUGAAAUCCCCGGGCUUAACCUGGGAACUGCAUUUGUGACUGCCAGACUAGAGUGUAGCAGAGGGGGGUAGAAUUCCACGUGUAGCAGUGAAAUGCGUAGAUAUGUGGAGGAAUACCGAUGGCGAAGGCAGCCCCCUGGGCUAACACUGACGCUCAUGCACGAAAGCGUGGGGAGCAAACAGGAUUAGAUACCCAUGUAGUCCCUGAGCGGGCUGGCAAGGCGCAU
Molecule: ribosomal RNA, 472 nt
Filed under: uncultured bacterium
Lineage: Bacteria
Description: bacterial SSU rRNA
Rfam family: Bacterial small subunit ribosomal RNA
Source: RNAcentral